AUGCCUUCACAAGCAAAGCAAAGCAAUACCAGUUCCAGUCCAGUAAGCGCACAGUGCCCGUCUCGCCUCCUCCGCCACUCGUCCUUCUCUAUGCCGAUGUCCUGCCUCCACCUCCGCCGCCGCCGCUCCUACUCCUGCAUUUCCACCUCGCCGCCCUCACGCUCCUGGUCUUCGGACGCCGCCUUUUCCGCUGCCGCAGAGCGCGUCCGCGCCGGGACGCUCAGCCCGGAAGACACACACCACCUGUUCGACCAAUUGCUGCGGCAGUCCACUCCGGUCCCGGAGCAAGCCCUGAAAGCCUUCCUCACCGGCCAUGCCCGUGCGCGGGACACCGACGCCUGGAGAGACGGCCCCUCCCUUGCCCUCACACUCUUCAACCGUGUAUGCCGAGAAGAAGCCGGCCGGCGGGUGGCGCCGCCCACAGUCAACACCUACGCCAUCCUGAUGAACUGCUACUGCCGCGUGAGACGUCCUGACCUAGGGCUUGCCUACUUCGGCCGCCUCCUAAGAACCAGCCUCAAAACAAAUGAGGUUGUCGCCAGCACCUUCCUCAAGUGCCUCUGCCGUGCAAAACGGACAUAUGAAGUUGUGGACGUGCUGCUUCACAGGACGUCUGUCCUCGGCUAUGUGCCAAAUUUCUUCUCAUACAAUAUAGUUCUGAAGAGCAUAUGUGAUGACAGCAGGAGACAGCAAGCGCUCGGCCUGCUCCAGGUGAUGGCAAAAGGAGAUGAUUGCUCCCCCUGUGUGCUGUCAUAUAGCACGGUCAUCAAUGGCUUCUUUAAGGAAGGGGAAGUAGGCAAGGCAUGCAAUCUAUUCCAUGAAAUGACCUGGCAAGGGGUUGUGCCUAAUGUGGUGCCAUAUAACUCGAUUAUCAAUGCAAUGUGCAAGGCAGGAGCAAUGGACAAGACAGAGCUGGUCCUUCGGCCAAUGGUCGAUAAUGGUGUCCGACCGGAUAAAAUGAUAUGUAAUAGUAUGAUCCAUGGAUAUUCAACUUUGGGCCGGUGGAAAGAGGCGGGUAAAGUGUUCAGAGAAAUGACAAGCCGGGGUCUUAUACCAGAUAUUUUCACUUGGAACUCGUUCAUGGGCUCCCUUUGCAAGCAUGGAAGAAGCAAAGAAGCUGCAGAAAUUUUCUUUUCCAUGGCUGCAAAGGGCCACAAACCUAAUAUUGUCUCCUACAUUCUUCUUCUUCGUGUGUAUGCCAAUGAAGGAAGAUUUGCUGAUAUGAUGAGUCUCCUUAAUUUAAUGGAAGGCGACGGUAUUGUAGCCAACUGCCAAAUUUUCACCAUAUUAAUUGAUGCAUAUGCUAAACAAGGAAUGAUUGAUGAAGCUAUGCUCGUACUUACUGACAUGCGGGGACAAGGACUGAGUCCGGAUGUAUUCACCUAUUCAGCUCUAUUAUCUGCACUUUGUAGAAUGGGUAGGCUGGCUGAUGCUAUGGAUAAGUUCACUCAGAUGAUUGGCACGGGAGUACAACCGAACACAGUUGUUUAUCACUCCCUAGUUCAGGGCUUAUGUACACAUGGUGAUUUGGCGAAAGCGAAGGAGUUAGUUUCUAAAAUGAUGAAUAAAGGUAUUGCUCGUCCAAACAUUGCAUUGUUCAGUUCAAUAAUGGCCAGUCUAUGCAAUGAAGGAAGGGUUAUGGAUGCACACCAUAUCUUUGACUUGGUUACAGACAUAGGUGAGAAACCUAAUAUCAUUAUGUUUACUACGCUGAUUGAUGGAUAUUGCUUAGUCGGCAAGAUGGACAAAGCAUGUGGAGUACUUGAUGCCAUGGUAUCAGCUGGCAUUGAGCCUAAUGUCGUUACAUAUAGUACACUUGUCAGUGGAUAUUGUAAAAAUGGACGGAUCGAUAAUGGGUUGAUUCUGUUCAGAGACAUGUUGAGAACUGCUGCUGCAAAGAAAAUGUUCCGUGAGAUUAUCGAAAGUAGAAUAAUUGUGAGCAUUUCUACAUAUAAUAUAAUUCUUGGGAUGACUUUGUAG
Molecule: ribosomal RNA, 1980 nt
Filed under: Triticum aestivum (bread wheat)
Lineage: Eukaryota; Viridiplantae; Streptophyta; Magnoliopsida; Poales; Poaceae
Description: partial small subunit ribosomal RNA
Source: RNAcentral